GCCUUCGGGAACUCUGAGACAGGUGCUGCAUGGCUGUCGUCAGCUCGUGUUGUGAAAUGUUGGGUUAAGUCCCGCAACGAGCGCAACCCUUAUCCUUUGUUGCCAGCGGUUAGGCCGGGAACUCAAAGGAGACUGCCAGUGAUAAACUGGAGGAAGGUGGGGAUGACGUCAAGUCAUCAUGGCCCUUACGAGUAGGGCUACACACGUGCUACAAUGGCGCAUACAAAGAGAAGCGACCUCGCGAGAGCAAGCGGACCUCAUAAAGUGCGUCGUAGUCCGGAUUGGAGUCUGCAACUCGACUCCAUGAAGUCGGAAUCGCUAGUAAUCGUAGAUCAGAAUGCUACGGUGAAUA
This 352-nucleotide ribosomal RNA is filed under the name Leclercia sp. 69S. RNAcentral's name for it is "bacterial SSU rRNA". It matches the Rfam family "Bacterial small subunit ribosomal RNA", at positions 1016 to 1368 of the family's 1533-position model. Lineage: Bacteria; Pseudomonadati; Pseudomonadota; Gammaproteobacteria; Enterobacterales; Enterobacteriaceae. The record is from RNAcentral.